GAAAUGCGAUAAGUAAUGUGAAUUGCAGAAUUCCGUGAAUCAUCGAAUCUUUGAACGCACAUUGCGCCCUCCAGUAUUCUGGCGGGCAUGCCUGUUCGAGCGUCAUUUCAACCCUCAAGCCCCCGGGCUUGGUGUUGGGGCUCGGCCCGUCCCUCGUGGCGCGCCGUCCCCGAAAUCUAGUGGCGGUCACGCUGUACUCCUCUGCGUAGUAAUCUAACCUCGCAACGGGACAAAGCCUGGCCACGCCGUUAAACCCCCCACUUCUGAAGGUUGACCUCGGAUCAGGUAGGAAUACCCGCUGAACUUAA
This 308-nucleotide unclassified non-coding RNA is filed under the name uncultured Fusicolla. RNAcentral describes it as "sequence contains ITS1". The stretch from base 1 to 105 matches the Rfam family "5.8S ribosomal RNA", at positions 50 to 154 of the family's 154-position model. The record is from RNAcentral. Lineage: Eukaryota; Fungi; Ascomycota; Sordariomycetes; Hypocreales; Nectriaceae.